Molecule: non-coding RNA, 224 nt
Organism: Pelobates cultripes (western spadefoot toad)
Lineage: Eukaryota; Metazoa; Chordata; Amphibia; Anura; Pelobatidae
Source: the annotation of a GenBank genome assembly
CUGGGAGACAUGGGGACACAGACACUAGAGGACUGGGAGACAUGGGGACACAUGUGUAUGUUCACCCUUUUGGCCGUUCUGGUUAUGUGAUUUGUGUCAGUGGGGAUAUGGGUUGACUUGAAAGAUGAAAGCGUGAGAUUAGCAAAGGGUAUGUGUUUUCUCAUAGUUGCAUCCUAUGAGUUUCCCUCCAGCACCAUCUCCAUCAGAUACAUGGCACUUAGGAG